CCCUACGGGGUGCAGCAGGCUGGGGAGAUCUUUGCCUUGAGAGACCGAGAGACUCAGCUAGAGGCUCAGCUAUCAGAGAAAUCUCAAGCCCUUGAUGAUGAGCGUAAGAAGGCGAAUUGGCUGGAGAGCGAAUGGAAUAUAGCGAAGGUCAAGAUCGAUCAGCAGGCUGGGGAGAUCUUUGCCUUAAGAGACCGAGCGACUCAGCUAGAGGCUCAGCUAUCAGAGAAAUCUCAAGCCCUUGAUGAUGAGCGUAAGAAGGCGAAUUGGCGGGAGGGC
Molecule: ribosomal RNA, 276 nt
Filed under: uncultured prokaryote
Description: partial 16S ribosomal RNA
Source: RNAcentral